GAUGAACGCUGGCGGCGUGCCUAAUACAUGCAAGUCGAGCGAACAGACGAGGAGCUUGCUCCUCUGACGUUAGCGGCGGACGGGUGAGUAACACGUGGAUAACCUACCUAUAAGACUGGGAUAACUUCGGGAAACCGGAGCUAAUACCGGAUAAUAUAUUGAACCGCAUGGUUCAAUAGUGAAAGACGGUUUUGCUGUCACUUAUAGAUGGAUCCGCGCCGCAUUAGCUAGUUGGUAAGGUAACGGCUUACCAAGGCAACGAUGCGUAGCCGACCUGAGAGAGUGAUCGGCCACACUGGAAGUGAGACAGGGUCCAGACUCCUAAGGGAGGCAGCAGUAGGGAAUCUUCCGCAAUGGUCGAAAGCCUGACGGAGCAACGCCGCGUGAGUGAUGAAGGUCUUCGGAUCGUAAAACUCUGUUAUUAGGGAAGAACAAAUGUGUAAGUAAAUAUGCACGUCUUGACGGUACCUAAUCAGAAAGCCACGGCUAACUACGUG
This 497-nucleotide ribosomal RNA is filed under the name uncultured bacterium. RNAcentral's name for it is "partial 16S ribosomal RNA". It matches the Rfam family "Bacterial small subunit ribosomal RNA", at positions 28 to 507 of the family's 1533-position model. The record is from RNAcentral.